UUCUACCCCCAAUUCGUCACUCUCUCUUCCUCCCUCAUUUCUUCUUAAUUUUUUCCCCAAUUCACAAACUCAAAAUCAGCGGCGGUCUUCUUCUUUCUCAAAUCUGCGCCGCCCUUCAUGGUUCUAUCACCAUCGCCAGCGAAUCACGCCAUCUCUCCGUCGAGCUCUCUCCUUCAAGCUCUUUCUUUCUGUAGAGUUCUCUCUCCCUCCGUCGAGCUCUCGGUUGGAGAGAAGGCGUCAACUUCCCUCCGGCGUCGAGGCUCCGGUCGAUGGGGAGUCGCUGCCCGUUCUUCGCGGUGAUGGGGUCGUCGUCGUCGAACCUUUGUCGUGUUCAAACUCAUCGCAGGGAAUCUAACGGGCAGUCUCCCACUUUAACGCGGUGUGGUCACCUCGGAGGACAGCCUCGAUUACUUAGCUAAGUCUUCUUUCCCCGAUUAAAGACGCGAGAGCGUGAGCCUGAUGCGUGUUUAAUUAAACACGCGAGAGCUUCAAGCAUGUUUAGUUAAAACACGUCGCGUCUUUCCCCUCUCUGGAAACUUUUUUUUUCGGGGUACAAAUGGCGGAUAAAAAUCGCCAUGAGGCUGUUUCUUGGAAUUUCAUCUUGAAAUACUGCAGCUUCUCUUGCUCUUUUUCUCACUCUCAUCUCACUAUUCCAAUUGCUGGAGGAUUUUCAAGUAUGGAAAUGAGAAAGCGUUGUUGUGUAUGGAGGGGUUUUUAAUGGUCUUUCUUGUGUACUUGAAGUUUGUUGGGAUUUUGGCAGAGAUGCAUUUUGAAAUCUUGGCUCUUUGCUAACAAAUUCUGGUGGUUUAUGGAUUUGUACUCUGUGAAAUAAAUGUGGCUGCAUUCUUUGUUUCUUUGUGCAGUACGCUCAGUCCUUGAUCCUCUUGUAGCUUUUAUUUAAGCAUUUUGGUUUUUAUCACACUCCAUCUUGUUGCCACCCUGCAGGUUGUUGCAACUGCCCUAUCUCGUGGCAGCCUUCGGCUCAGGCUGGGAGUUCAGAGGUGGCAGCCGUUCCUUCUUACUCACUUUGGGUUACACACCCGAGCUGCUGUGUUGAUACAGCCUUAGGGCUGGUUUGCUGCCAUGGCCGACUGAUGUCAGGGUUUGGCCGAAGUCCGGGCCUAAGGGAAAAAGGCCCGACAUUAGCGUCCCUAGCAUUGUAUUAAGAUCAAUCCCUCUUUUGUUUUCUUUCUCUUUCGUCUCUUUCUCAACAAGUGUGGUCGAGCAUUUGUAUAAUUAGGCUUAGUUUGAAACUUGUGUAUCUCAAUUACUUAAGAAAUAAACGGCUAUUUAUUUUUAUCUUC
Salvia splendens (bonfire salvia) is the source of this 1304-nucleotide long non-coding RNA. RefSeq lists it as uncharacterized. The record is from RefSeq and is a predicted model, not a curated record. Lineage: Eukaryota; Viridiplantae; Streptophyta; Magnoliopsida; Lamiales; Lamiaceae. The transcript has 2 exons.